CCUACGGGGGGCUGCAGUGGGGAAUAUUGCACAAUGGGGGAAACCCUGAUGCAGCAACGCCGCGUGAGCGAUGAAGGCCUUCGGGUCGUAAAGCUCUGUCCUAAGGGAAGAAUACUGACGGUACCUUAGGAGGAAGCCCCGGCUAACUACGUGCCAGCAGCCGCGGUAAUACGUAGGGGGCUAGCGUUAUCCGGAAUUACUGGGCGUAAAGGGUGCGUAGGCGGCCCUUUAAGUCAGAGGUGAAAGGCUACGGCUCAACCGUAGUAAGCCUGUGAAACUGUAGGGCUUGAGUGCAGGAGAGGGGAGUGGAAAUCGGAGUGGUGCGGUGAAAUGUGUAGAUAUUGGGCGGAACAACAGUUGUGAAGGGGGCUGUCUGGACUGGAACCUACGCGGCGGGGCGAAGGAGAGGGGAGCGAACAAAAAUAGAUACCCGUGUAGUC
RNAcentral lists this ribosomal RNA (440 nucleotides) under uncultured bacterium. Its description in RNAcentral is "partial 16S ribosomal RNA". It matches the Rfam family "Bacterial small subunit ribosomal RNA", at positions 338 to 795 of the family's 1533-position model. The record is from RNAcentral.